Molecule: ribosomal RNA, 450 nt
Filed under: uncultured bacterium
Lineage: Bacteria
Description: bacterial SSU rRNA
Rfam family: Bacterial small subunit ribosomal RNA
Source: RNAcentral
GUGGGGAAUAUUGGACAAUGGGGGCAACCCUGAUCCAGCCAUGCCGCGUGUGUGAAGAAGGCCUUCGGGUUGUAAAGCACUUUAAGCGGGGAGGAAGGCUCGCGACCUAAUACGUCGCGGGAGUGACGUUACCCGCAGAAUAAGCACCGGCAAACUCCGUGCCAGCAGCCGCGGUAAUACGGAGGGUGCGAGCGUUAAUCGGAAUUACUGGGCGUAAAGCGCACGUAGGCGGUUUGUUAAGUCGGAUGUGAAAUCCCCGGGCUCAACCUGGGAGCUGCAUUCGAUACUGGCAGACUUGAAUACGGUAGAGGGGGGUGGAAUUCCAGGUGUAGCGGUGAAAUGCGUAGAGAUCUGGAGGAACACCAGUGGCGAAGGCGGCCCCCUGGACCGAUAUUGACGCUGAGGUGCGAAAGCGUGGGGAGCAAACAGGAUUAGAUACCCUAGUAGUCC